Molecule: ribosomal RNA, 775 nt
Filed under: uncultured Neocallimastigales
Lineage: Eukaryota; Fungi; Neocallimastigomycota; Neocallimastigomycetes; Neocallimastigales
Description: partial large subunit ribosomal RNA
Rfam family: Eukaryotic large subunit ribosomal RNA
Source: RNAcentral
CGCAUCUGUGCAUGCAGCAUAUCAAUAAGCGGAGGAAAAGAAACUAACAAGGAUUCCCCUAGUAACGGCGAGUGAAGCGGGAAGAGCUCAAAUUUGAAAUCUUAAAGGGUUUCCCUUUACGAAUUGUAGUUUAAAGAAGUGUUUUCUGUUGAGGUUUUGGUAAAAGUUCUUUGGAAUAGGACAUCAUAGAGGGUGAGAAUCCCGUAUUUGACCUUUACUUUCAACUUUGUGAUACACUUUCAAAGAGUCGGAUUGUUUGGGAAUGCAGUCCAAAAUGGGUGGUAAAUUUCAUCUAAAGCUAAAUAUUGGCGAGAGACCGAAUAGCGAACAAGUACCGUGAGGGAAAGAUGAAAAGAACUUUGAAAAGAGAGUUAAACAGUACGUGAAAUUGUCAAAAGGGAAGCGUUUGACACCAGUGUUGUUUUUCUGAAAAUCAAUUAAAGAACUGUUUAUGCUAAGUUGUUUAGACUUUAUCAGCUAUCUGUUUAGUUUUGAGCUUUUCUUUAAUGCACUUUUCAGUUAACAAGUCAACAUCAAUUUCUUUUGCUGUAAAAAAGCUUGAGGAAGGUGGCUUGAGAUUCGUCUUAAGUGUUUAUAGCCUCUUGCCUAUGCAGUCGGAGAGAUUGAGGUCUGCAGCGUAGAUCCUUCGGGGCUAAAUGCAUUUGUGCUAAGUUAUAGCAUUUUAUAGACAACUUGUUGACUAUGAUUUGUCUUGUAGCUUACUCGCUUAUGUUAUUUUACCUACGCUUAGGAUGUUGAGUCGUAGAGCACGCAG